RNAcentral lists this ribosomal RNA (450 nucleotides) under uncultured bacterium. Its description in RNAcentral is "partial 16S ribosomal RNA". It matches the Rfam family "Bacterial small subunit ribosomal RNA", at positions 338 to 795 of the family's 1533-position model. The record is from RNAcentral.
CCUACGGGUGGCUGCAGUGGGGAAUCUUGCGCAAUGGGCGAAAGCCUGACGCAGCGACGCCGCGUGAGCGAUGAAGGCCUUCGGGUUGUAAAGCUCUGUGGGGAGAGAAGAAUAAGGGUUGGCUAACAUCCAACCUGAUGACUGUAUCUCCUUAGCAAGCACCGGCUAACUCUGUGCCAGCAGCCGCGGUAAGACCGAGGGUGCAAACGUUGUUCGGAAUCACUGGGAGGAGGGUGGGUAUAUGCGAUGUGAAAGCCCACGGCUCAACCAGGGAAGUGCAUUCGAAACUGCCAGACUAGAGUCCUGGAGAGGAAGGCGGAAUACUCGGUGUAGAGGUGAAAUUCGUAGAUAUCGAGUGGAACACCGGUGGCGAAGGCGGCCUUCUGGACAGUGACUGACGCUGAAACGCGAAAGCGUGGGGAGCAAACAGGAUUAGAUACCCGUGUAGUC